UAAGGAAUAUUGCUCAAUGGGAGAAAUCCUGAAGCAGCAACGCCGCGUGGAGGAUGAAGGGUUUUUAACUUGUAAACUCCUGUAAAGAAGGAAAAAAUUCCCAUUAGAUGGGAAAUGAUGGUACUUCUGGAGUAAGCCCCGGCUAACUACGUGCCAGCAGCCGCGGUAAUACGUAGGGGGCAAGCGUUGUCCGGAUUUACUGGGUGUAAAGGGUGCUCAGGCGGAUUUGUAAGUCAGAGGUGAAAUCUCACAGCUUAACUGUGAAACUGCCUUUGAUACUGCAAAGCCUAGAGUAUGGAAGAGAGUGAUGGAAUAUCUGGUGUAGCAGUGAAAUGCGUAGAUAUCAGAUAGAACACCAAUGGCGAAGGCAGUCACUUGGUCCAUAACUGACGCUAAAGCACGAAAAGCGUGGGUAGCAAAACAGGAUUAGAUACCCUGGUAGUCCACGCCCUAAACGAUGAAUACUAGAUGUUGGCUUCGCAUGAAGUCAGUAUCUGAGCUAACGCAUUAAGUAUUCCACCUGGGAAGUACGAUCGCAAGGUUGAAACUUAAAUGAAUUGACGGGGUCAUAGCUGUUUCCUG
This 582-nucleotide ribosomal RNA is filed under the name uncultured bacterium. RNAcentral's name for it is "partial 16S ribosomal RNA". It matches the Rfam family "Bacterial small subunit ribosomal RNA", at positions 355 to 1376 of the family's 1533-position model. The record is from RNAcentral.